This 876-nucleotide long non-coding RNA is filed under the name Mytilus galloprovincialis (Mediterranean mussel). Lineage: Eukaryota; Metazoa; Mollusca; Bivalvia; Mytilida; Mytilidae. The record is from RNAcentral.
ACUUGAAUGAAUAAAAGGUUAGUACUUAGUUUUUGUAAAUAUGACACUUUUGCAUAUCAUUGUACUUUGUCCGUUAAACACUUCAUACACAUGUUUGUAAAGUGCUGAUCUCCAAGUUUAUCGAUAUGAAAUAUAAAAGCAAAAAUUAUCCAUUUUUGUGUGCUUAAGAGUAGGCAUGGGUAAAUGUGAUAUGCAAAUGAAGCACACACUUGAUAUUAAAUAAAACCAAUAAUAACUGACAUUGUAUAUAUAGUUGUUAUAGCUAACUGAUUAGUCACCAUCUUGCAAAUUUUGGUUAAGUCAAUAACAGCAUGUUUCUUGUUUUUGCUUCAGGUUUUUUUUUGGCGCUAUAUAAUUUCUUUAGAAAAAGUGACUAGUCAUAAGAUUAUUUUAUGUAUUGUAAUUGUGGGAAAUGACCUAUGGGAUAAUAUGAUACAAAAUUAGUAUAACACAUCCACAUAGAGAAAAAAACAAAUGCAAGCCUUGAUUUAUGAUUAGUGUACUAAUUGAAGGAUAAUAUUGUUAUAUCGUGGCUGCACAAAAGGUUGACAAAACAUGGUCAUACUAUGCUGCAUUUUUACUGUUAUCUGAAUUCAUAGAUUAAACUAAUAUAAAUCUAGCUAAUAUUGCACAUUGUACAUAUAGGGUAAGCAGCAGCAAUAACUACGUUAAACCAUAUAAUACAUAUGUAUGCGUUUAACUAACUUUUUUUCCUUUUACAUACUUUCUGUGAUUAAUUUCCAGUGAGUAAGUUAACCUGUCGGAGGCAAGACAAUUUUAAUAUGUAUACUUGUAUUUUCUUUUAUAUGUUUUGAUUAUUUUAUCUUGUUUUACACAUGUUCAUAUAUUUUGUUUACUUUUUAUUUGACAAAAAAA